GGAGUAGAUUACAUCCAAGGAUGACUUGCCGAGAUAUAGUAGCCCAAUGCAACAACUUAUCGGCAGGUCAUCCUUGGCUAUAAUUUGUUCUCU
This is a non-coding RNA of Capsicum annuum, 93 nucleotides long. The record is from Rfam. Lineage: Eukaryota; Viridiplantae; Streptophyta; Magnoliopsida; Solanales; Solanaceae.